RNAcentral lists this ribosomal RNA (637 nucleotides) under Megopis sinica. RNAcentral describes it as "eukaryotic LSU rRNA". The record is from RNAcentral. Lineage: Eukaryota; Metazoa; Arthropoda; Insecta; Coleoptera; Cerambycidae.
UUCAGGGGUAAACCUGAGAAACCCGAAAGGUCGAAAGGGGAAAUUCAUUCGCGUUUCGGCCGUCGGCGUUGAAUGGUCGAGUGACGGAUGGCGAUUUCGUCGUCCGCGCCUUCCAUUUUUCGAACCGGCGUCGAACGCGUGCACUUUUCCUCUAGUAGGUCGUCGCGAUCCGUUGGGUGUCGGUCUAAGGCUCGCAGUGGAGUCCGAAUGGACGUUUCGACGUGUCGUUCGGACCUGCGGUGUAUCCCGACCGACUCGCUCGACGGUAUACAGAUGGCGCGGGGCCGCUACUAUUCAAUCAGCGUUCGGCCCACGGCAAGCGCGUUCGGUGUUUGACGGCGAUCGGACCUGGUGCCGGUCCUAUCCCCGAACGACUGUUGGCCGGUGGUGUUCUCGAACAGACCCCGUUCUGAAACGCCGAUCUGCGACGCUAUAGCUUUGGGUACUUUCAGGACCCACGGACCAAGGAGUCUAGCAUGCUCGCAAGUCAUUGGGACAUAACUAAACCUAAAGGCUUAAUGAAAGUGAAGGUCCGCCUUGCGCGGAUCGAGGGAGGAUGAGCGGUUUGCCCUUAAAGUGGCUGCUCCGCACUCCCGGGGCGUCUCGUUCUCAUUGCGAGAAGAGGCGCACCAAUAGC